UCCUCGGUAGUAUAUCGGCUAGUACACCCGCCUGUCAAUCAGGCGGACGCGGGAGAGCGGGGUUCGACUCCCCGCCGAGGAG
Schizophyllum commune H4-8 is the source of this 82-nucleotide non-coding RNA. The record is from Rfam. NCBI's taxonomy places the organism in Eukaryota, Fungi, Basidiomycota, Agaricomycetes, Agaricales, Schizophyllaceae.